This 393-nucleotide ribosomal RNA is filed under the name uncultured bacterium. Its description in RNAcentral is "partial 16S ribosomal RNA". It matches the Rfam family "Bacterial small subunit ribosomal RNA", at positions 523 to 918 of the family's 1533-position model. The record is from RNAcentral.
AUACGGAGGAUCCGAGCGUUAUCCGGAUUUAUUGGGUUUAAAGGGAGCGUAGGCGGACGCUUAAGUCAGUUGUGAAAGUUUGCGGCUCGACCGUAAAAUUGCAGUUGAUACUGGGUGUCUUGAGUACAGUAGAGGCAGGCGGAAAUGGUGGUGUAGCGGUGAAAUGCUUAGAUAUCCCGAAGAACUCCGCUUGCGAAGGCAGCCUGCUGGACUGUAACUGACGCUGAUGCUCGAAAGUGUGGGUAUCAAACAGGAUUAGAUACCCUGGUAGUCCACACAGUAAACGAUGAAUACUCGCUGUUUGCGAUAUACAGUAAGCGGCCAAGCGAAAGCGUUAAGUAUUCCACCUGGGGAGUACGCCGGCAACGGUGAAACUCAAAGGAAUUGACGGGG